AGCGAACGCUGGCGGCAGGCUUAACACAUGCAAGUCGAGCGGGCGUAGCAAUACGUCAGCGGCAGACGGGUGAGUAACGCGUGGGAACGUACCUUUUGGUUCGGAACAACACAGGGAAACUUGUGCUAAUACCGGAUAAGCCCUUACGGGAAAAGAUUUAUCGCCGAAAGAUCGGCCCGCGUCUGAUCAGCUAGUUGGUGAGGUAAUGGCUCACCAAGGCGACGAUCAGUAGCUGGUCUGAGAGGAUGAUCAGCCACAUUGGGACUGAGACACGGCCCAAACUCCUACGGGAGGCAGCAGUGGGAAUAUUGGACAAUGGGCGCAAGCCUGAUCCAGCCAUGCCGCGUGAGUGAUGAAGGCCCUAGGGUUGUAAAGCUCUUUUGUGCGGGAAGAUAAUGACGGUACCGCAAGAAUAA
Molecule: ribosomal RNA, 416 nt
Filed under: uncultured bacterium
Lineage: Bacteria
Description: bacterial SSU rRNA
Rfam family: Bacterial small subunit ribosomal RNA
Source: RNAcentral